CCUACGGGGGUCAGCAGUGAGGAAUAUUGGUCAAUGGGCUUACGCCUGAACCAGCCAAGUCGCGUGAGGGAAGACUGCCCUAUGGGCUGUAAACCUCUUUUGUCAGGGAGCAACGCCGGCUACGUGUAGCCGGACUGCGAGUAACCGACGAAACAGCAUCGGCUAACUUCGUGCCAGCAGUCGCGGUAAUACGGAGGAUGCGAGCGUUAUCCGGAUUUGUUGGGUUUAAAGGGUGCGCAGGCGGAAGAUCAAGUCAGCGGUAAAAGUGAGAGGCUCAACCGCUGCGAGCCGUUGAAACUGGUGUUCUUGAGGGAGUGAGAAGAGUGCGGAAUGCGUGGUGUAGCGGUGAAAUGCAUAGAUAUCACGCAGAACACCGAUUGCGAAGGCAGCAUACCGGCGCUCAACUGACGCUCAGGCACGAAAGUGUGGGUAUCGAACAGGAUUAGAUACCCGUGUAGUC
RNAcentral lists this ribosomal RNA (460 nucleotides) under uncultured bacterium. RNAcentral describes it as "partial 16S ribosomal RNA". It matches the Rfam family "Bacterial small subunit ribosomal RNA", at positions 338 to 795 of the family's 1533-position model. The record is from RNAcentral.